AGCGAACGCUGGCGGCGUGCCUAACACAUGCAAGUCGAACGUGAAAGGGAGCAAUCCCAAGUAAAGUGGCGUACGGGUGAGUAACACGUAGGUAAUCUACCCCAGAAUCUGGAAUAACCGGCCGAAAGGCUGGCUAAUACUGGAUAGAGCGACGGAAUCCGUAAUUGGGUUUUUCGGGAAAGGGAGCCUGUAAAACGGCCUUCGUUCUGGGAUGAGCCUGCGUCCCAUCAGCUAGUUGGUGAGGUAAAAGCUUACCAAGGCAAUGACGGGUAGCUGGUCUGAGAGGACGAUCAGCCACACUGGAACUGAAACACGGUCCAGACUCCUACGGGAGGCAGCAGUGGGGAAUCUUGCGCAAUGGACGAAAGUCUGACGCAGCAACGCCGCGUGAGUGAAGAAGGCCUUCGGGUUGUAAAGCUCUGUCGAGUGGGACGAAAAUGCUUGGAGUUCACAGCUCCAGGAACUGACGGUACCACUAAAGGAAGCACCGGCUAACUCCGUG
Molecule: ribosomal RNA, 502 nt
Filed under: uncultured bacterium
Lineage: Bacteria
Description: partial 16S ribosomal RNA
Rfam family: Bacterial small subunit ribosomal RNA
Source: RNAcentral